RNAcentral lists this ribosomal RNA (230 nucleotides) under uncultured bacterium. RNAcentral's name for it is "partial 16S ribosomal RNA". It matches the Rfam family "Bacterial small subunit ribosomal RNA", at positions 99 to 334 of the family's 1533-position model. The record is from RNAcentral.
CGGACGGGUGAGUAAUGUAUAGGAACUUGCCUAAUAGUGGGGGACAACGUGUGGAAACGCACGCUAAUACCGCAUACGCUCUACGGAGGAAAGCGGGGGAUCUUCGGACCUCGUGCAUUAGAUAGGCCUAUAUUGGAUUAGCUAGUUGGUAAGGUAAAGGCUUACCAAGGCGACGAUCCAUAGCUGGUUUGAGAGAAUGAUCAGCCACACUGGACUGAGACACGGCCCAG